Molecule: non-coding RNA, 45 nt
Organism: Schistosoma mansoni
Lineage: Eukaryota; Metazoa; Platyhelminthes; Trematoda; Strigeidida; Schistosomatidae
Source: Rfam
AUCCAGCUGACGAGUCCCAAAUAGGACUAAACGCGCGUCCUGGAU